UAGAAGAAUUAAUAUAUUACAUGAGACACGGGGCUACUGAUAUUCUCUGGAUUGUUGAGACAUCGUUUAUUGCAGUGGAAUGUUACUCCUCCGUGUCAGCCUUCACCACUGACAAAAACGCAGCUCUGCAAGAAGAGCUGCAGUAUCAUCAUCAUCACUCUCCUCUUCAAAAUCUUCAUCUUCAUCUUCCUCAUCUGUUAGAGGAUCAUCUGCAUCAAGGUUCAAAAGUUGGCCUAGCUGCUGUUGUCAUCUUUUAUGCUGCUACCCUCCUGCCGCUCACAUCGGCCGGGGUCUAAUGCUGCAGCUUCCGGAAAUCAUACAGACACCAUUACGACUGGUACCUCCCAGGAGCCUCUGCCUCAUUCACAUCUUUUAA
RNAcentral lists this long non-coding RNA (376 nucleotides) under Felis catus (domestic cat). RNAcentral's name for it is "lncRNA (ENSFCAG00000049669.1)". Lineage: Eukaryota; Metazoa; Chordata; Mammalia; Carnivora; Felidae. The record is from RNAcentral.